UCAUCAAACUAAUAAAGUUUUGUUUCAUUAUUCUUCUAUCUUCCAAAGUAAUUAUUAAUAUAUAUCGGUGAUGGCUUCUUCAGAUGAUUAUUCCACCAUUCCAAGUCACACAAAAGCAUGGUUCUAUUCGAAACAUGGGAAUCCAGGUGAUGUUCUAAAGGUACAUCCAAAUUGGCCAAUACCAGAACUCAAUGAGGACCAAGUUCUCAUCAAAGUUGUGGCUGCAUCCCUUAAUCCAGUUGAUAAUAAAAGAAUUACCGACUUCUACAAAGACAUUAACAACCCUGAUCCACUUCUUCCUAUUGUUCCAGGGUUUGAUGUUGCCGGUAUAGUGGUAAAAUUGGGAAAUCAAGUCACGAAAUUUAAGGUUGGUGACGAAGUUUACGGUGACAUUCAAGAGGGAGGCAUAGAAAAUCUGAAGAAACUUGGAACAUUGUCCGAGUAUACUAUUGCUGAGGAGAGGCUUUUGGCUCACAAGCCUCCAAAUCUCAGCUUUGUUGAAGCUGCUAGCUUUCCUGCGGCAGUUGAGACUGCUUAUGAAGGACUUGAGAGAGCUGACUUUUCUGCUGGCAAAUCUAUUCUUGUUCUUGGAGGUGCUGGCGGUGUUGGAACCCAAGUUAUUCAGCUUGCGAAGCAUGUGUAUGGCGCAUCAAGGAUAGCAGCAACAUCAAGCACUGGAAAACUCGAAUUAUUGAGAAAACUGGGAGUUGACUUCCCUAUUGAUUACACAAAGGAGAACUUUGAAGAGCUGUCAGAAAAGUUUGAUCUAGUCUACGAUACAGUAGGUUCAACGACAAAGAAAUCAAUGGCAUUGAGAUGGUUCUUCAAGAUAUCAAAACAUGCUGUUUUCAAAAUUUCUAGGGUUGUAGGAUCCGUGCUUCAAUCCCAAAACCAUUGAUCAAGAAGUGGAGAGGUAAUAUUUUGGAGUUUAGCAUGUACGUGAUGUCUAACUUUAUAGUGGUGGAAAAAAAAAGAGAAAAUCAAGAUAACUACAAAUAGAUGGACCAUCAAUUUUUCAUAGAAGACCACUAUUCUUCUGGUACCUCAUCCCAGUUUUCCUCUAGAGGCAUUUUCUUUUAAGCCUAUUGUGGAGUUGCUUCGAGUUGACAAGAUCGAUGAUUCAAUACUCAUAGAUGUCAUUGGUGAAGUUGUUGAAAAAGAGGAUCCAAGAGAGUUGAUUACCAGCAAAGGCAGAGAGACAA
Non-coding RNA from Arachis ipaensis, 1202 nucleotides. The record is from RefSeq and is a predicted model, not a curated record. NCBI's taxonomy places the organism in Eukaryota, Viridiplantae, Streptophyta, Magnoliopsida, Fabales, Fabaceae.